AUGUCAGUACACAUUAAAUACAUUCAUGAGCAACACCCUCCGGUAGACACAGACGACACACCCUCACACACGCUCACAGUCAUAACAAAUAUGUGUGUAAUGGAAAGGCACAUGCUUGUUUUACACACACACCAUCACCAAACAGGAACACACAAAGAGGUACCAUCAUAUAUACACGGGCACUCAUUCAUUCUCCAGUGCACAGAGGCACAGGUGGAUCAGACAGACCUGUUUGUCACAAUCACAUUCAGACACAGAUUCAUAUUUACAAUCCUCCCCUCCCCCACAGUGGUCUUCGGUCCGUGGGAAGGCUGCACCACGACCCUCUCCCCGCCCCCCAGGAGUGUGAUACAUCUCACACAUGUCGCCUGGCCCAGGGGAGACCAUAAAGGGACACUAGGGAGGGGCAGAGACGGGUCGGGAGCAGCGAGGCUACCGGCAGAUUGCUGGAGCUCAACAGGGACCCCGCACGCCCUGCAGCCCCUCCCCAGAGCCACCUCAGUACUCACCGAGACCCUUCUGGAGCUGGGAGGGAGGAGAGGCCGAGGGGAGGCUGGCCCAGCUCGGCAGUGCAGGUGCAGGCGGCGCAGCUCGCGCUGCUCCAGGCCCGCCUGCCUCCGGGUCCCUCCUCCAACACCCCCACCCCGCGCCGCUCCUGCAACGCUAAUCUCCCACCUCCCGCAGUUCUAGGGCCCUGAGCCCUGGAGGCUGCCAACCUCCCACCUCGCUAAAUCCGCACUGGGCUCUCCCGCCAACCUCGGACCCACCCCGGACCGGGGGGAGGGCGAGAGCCCCAUCCGCUCCAGACCCUCACAUGCCCUGCACUCGUGUCCAAGCCCCUCUCGCCCACUGCCUCUUGAGCUACAUUCAGGGCCCGCUGCACACGCGUGUCCCGCUCCAGACCCCGCGCGUGUCCCCAGAAGGCUGCCACAUGACCUGUUACAUGCCACACACGCUCCCGCCCCCACGAGCACGCGGCCGCGCAAGGCGCACAGUUCGGGUGUAGACCGGGCCCGCCCCCUAGGUCCAGAGACCAGCUAAG
This 1042-nucleotide long non-coding RNA is filed under the name Fukomys damarensis (Damara mole-rat). Its description in RNAcentral is "lncRNA (ENSFDAG00000026654.1)". Lineage: Eukaryota; Metazoa; Chordata; Mammalia; Rodentia; Bathyergidae. The record is from RNAcentral.